Molecule: long non-coding RNA, 754 nt
Organism: Magallana angulata
Lineage: Eukaryota; Metazoa; Mollusca; Bivalvia; Ostreida; Ostreidae
Exons: 2
Source: RefSeq, a predicted model, not a curated record
CUUAAUAUACAAGCUGUAAAAAAUGAUACGUUGUCAAAUAUAUGUUGUAGCAAAAACACACAUUUUAGAAAACUAGUGAUCUACAUGUUUGCGUCCCGAUUUGGCUAUUACAUGUAAAACACACAACUGAGCCAAGAAAACGGAAUGUGUUCAGUUUUGGAUACAUGUAAUCGUAGGGCACUCACCUGAACCAGCUAAUAUGGAGGGUUUACCGAUAAUAUCCAGCGUAUAUAAAUCAAUAUGGUCGACAUUGGGGUAGGUAUUUGCUUUCUUAUCAACCAACACACUUGUUGGGAGGGUACCUAUUCAUUCCUAUACAGGUCAACGCAACAAACCAAUGGACCUUCUAUAAAAUGUAAGCGGUGUCAUGACAUGGUGGGAACUUUUACUGAUUGUUGUGGCAUUUAAUGUCGUGAUUGGAAUUGUCACCAUUCUCCUAAAGAGAAUGUUUGAUGAUAGAAGAUGCCAUGAACCGAAAAGAAGUUUCGUCAUCAGAAAGAACCGAGUGGACGCAGCCUCUGUUUCAACGCAGACUUGACCAACAUGUAUACCGUAAAGAUCGACUCUGUCUGAGAACUAAAUGUCUUGUGAUGGCCAUACAGAUAGUUAUCGUUUCUCUUUGACUGUACAUGUAUUAUAUAUCUAAUAAGUACAAUGAACUCUUAAGUAAUUCAUCCGACGAAAUAUGCAUUGUUAUUUUCAGGCAUUGGAAUGAAAACAAUCAAUCAUUAAAUGCAUAUUAGAUUCAUUGAAA